RNAcentral lists this ribosomal RNA (402 nucleotides) under uncultured prokaryote. Its description in RNAcentral is "bacterial SSU rRNA". It matches the Rfam family "Bacterial small subunit ribosomal RNA", at positions 355 to 774 of the family's 1533-position model. The record is from RNAcentral.
UAGGGAAUAUUGGUAAUGUGCGAAAGCGCGAACCAGCAACGCCGCGUGUGCGAUGACGGCCUUCGGGUUGUAAAGCACUUUUUGAGGGGAUGAGGAAGGACAGUACCCUCAGAAUAAGUCUCGGCUAACUACGUGCCAGCAGCCGCGGUAACACGUAGGAGGCAAACGUUAUCCGGAUUUACUGGGCGUAAAGCGCGUGUAGGUGGUUUGGUAAGUAGAGCGUGAAAGCUCCUGGCUCAACUGGGAGAGGUCGUUCUAAACUGCCGGACUAGAGGAUGGUAGAGGGAGGUGGAAUUCCGGGUGUAGCGGUGGAAUGCGCAGAUAUCCGGAGGAACACCAGUGGCGAAAGCGGCCUCCUGGACCACUCCUGACACUCAGACGCGAAAGCUAGGGUAGCAAACG